RNAcentral lists this ribosomal RNA (784 nucleotides) under uncultured archaeon. RNAcentral's name for it is "bacterial SSU rRNA". It matches the Rfam family "Archaeal small subunit ribosomal RNA", at positions 1 to 783 of the family's 1478-position model. The record is from RNAcentral.
UUCGCCCUUUUCCGGUUGAUCCUGCCGGACCUGACUGCUAUCGGAUUGAUACUAAGCCAUGCGAGUCAUUGUAGCAAUACAAGGCAGACGGCUCAGUAACGCGUAGUCAACCUAACCUAUGGACGGGAAUAACCUCGGGAAACUGAGAAUAAUGCCCGAUAGAACACUAUACCUGGAAUGGUUUGUGUUCCAAAUGAUUUAUCGCCGUAGGAUGGGACUGCGGCCUAUCAGUUUGUUGGUGAGGUAAUGGCCCACCAAGACUAUUACAGGUACGGGCUCUGAGAGGAGUAGCCCGGAGAUGGGUACUGAGACACGGACCCAGGCCCUAUGGGGCGCAGCAGGCGAGAAAACUUUGCAAUGUGCGAAAGCACGACAAGGUUAAUCCGAGUGAUUUGUGCUAAACGAAUCUUUUGUUAGUCCUAGAACCACUAACGAAUAAGGGGUGGGCAAGUUCUGGUGUCAGCCGCCGCGGUAAAACCAGCACCUCAAGUGGUCAGGAUGAUUAUUGGGCCUAAAGCAUCCGUAGCCGGCUCUGUAAGUUUUCGGUUAAAUCUGUACGCUUAACGUACAGGCUGCCGGGAAUACUGCAGAGCUAGGGAGUGGGAGAGGUAGACGGUACUCGGUAGGAAGGGGUAAAAUCCUUUGAUCUAUUGAUGACCACCUGUGGCGAAGGCGGUCUACCAGAACACGUCCGACGGUGAGGGAUGAAAGCUGGGGGAGCAAACCGGAUUAGAUACCCGGGUAGUCCCAGCUGUAAACUAUGCAAACUCAGUGAUGCAUUGAC